AUUGAACGCUGGCGGAAUGCUUUACACAUGCAAGUCGAGCGGCAGCGCGGGGGGCAACCCUGGCGGCGAGCGGCGAACGGGUGAGUAAUACAUCGGAACGUGUCCUUAAGUGGGGGAUAGCUCGGCGAAAGCCGGAUUAAUACCGCAUAAGCUCUGAGGAGGAAAGCGGGGGCUCCGUAAGGACCUCGCGCUGUUGGAGCGGCCGAUGUCGGAUUAGCUAGUUGGUGGGGUAAAGGCCCACCAAGGCGACGAUCCGUAGCUGGUCUGAGAGGAUGAUCAGCCACACUGGAACUGAGACACGGUCCAGACUCCUACGGGAGGCAGCAGUGGGGAAUUUUGGACAAUGGGGGCAACCCCUGAUCCAGCCAUUCCGCGUGAGUGAAGAAGCCCUUCGGGUUGUAAAGCUCUUUCGGACGGAACGAAAUGGUUAGGUCGAAUACGCCUGACUGAUGACGGUACCGUAA
Molecule: ribosomal RNA, 464 nt
Filed under: uncultured bacterium
Lineage: Bacteria
Description: bacterial SSU rRNA
Rfam family: Bacterial small subunit ribosomal RNA
Source: RNAcentral